GUAAGGAAUAUUGGACAAUGGACGCAAGUCUGAUCCAGCCAUGCCGCGUGAAGGAUUAAGGUCCUCUGGAUUGUAAACUUCUUUUAUAAGGGACGAAAAAAGGCUUUUCUAAGUCGUCUGACGGUACCUUAUGAAUAAGCACCGGCUAACUCCGUGCCAGCAGCCGCGGUAAUACGGAGGGUGCAAGCGUUAUCCGGAUUCACUGGGUUUAAAGGGUGCGUAGGCGGGCAGGUAAGUCAGUGGUGAAAUCCUAGAGCUUAACUCUAGAACUGCCAUUGAUACUAUCUGUCUUGAAUAUUGUGGAGGUAAGCGGAAUAUGUCAUGUAGCGGUGAAAUGCUUAGUUAUGACAUAGAACACCUAUUGCGAAGGCAGCUUACUACGCAUAUAUUGACGCUGAGGCACGAAAGCGUGGGGAUCAAACAGGAUUAGAUACCCGGGUAGUCC
RNAcentral lists this ribosomal RNA (445 nucleotides) under uncultured bacterium. Its description in RNAcentral is "partial 16S ribosomal RNA". It matches the Rfam family "Bacterial small subunit ribosomal RNA", at positions 354 to 796 of the family's 1533-position model. The record is from RNAcentral.